RNAcentral lists this ribosomal RNA (230 nucleotides) under uncultured bacterium. Its description in RNAcentral is "partial 16S ribosomal RNA". It matches the Rfam family "Bacterial small subunit ribosomal RNA", at positions 568 to 796 of the family's 1533-position model. The record is from RNAcentral.
CGCGUAGGCGGUCUUGUAAGUCGGGUGUGAAAUUCCGGGGCUCAACCCCGAGAACUGCAUCCGAUACUGCUCGACUUGAGAGAGGUAGGGGCGAGUGGAAUUCCCGGUGUAGCGGUGGAAUGCGUAGAUAUCGGGAAGAACACCGGUGGCGAAGGCGGCUCGCUGGACCUUUUCUGACGCUGAAGCGCGAAAGCGUGGGGAGCAAACAGGAUUAGAUACCCUGGUAGUCC